GGGUGAUUAGCUCAGCUGGGAGAGCACCUCCCUUACAAGGAUGGGGUCGGCGGUUCGAUCCCGUCAUCACCCACCA
RNAcentral lists this transfer RNA (76 nucleotides) under Klebsiella aerogenes. RNAcentral describes it as "tRNA-Val". It matches the Rfam family "tRNA". Rfam says of the family: Transfer RNA (tRNA) molecules are approximately 80 nucleotides in length. Their secondary structure includes four short double-helical elements and three loops (D, anti-codon, and T loops). RNAcentral also lists the same sequence under 5 other names. Lineage: Bacteria; Pseudomonadati; Pseudomonadota; Gammaproteobacteria; Enterobacterales; Enterobacteriaceae. The record is from RNAcentral.